AUUGAACGCUGGCGGCAUGCCUUACACAUGCAAGUCGAACGGAUCAGAAGGGCUUGCUCUUCUGGUUAGUGGCGAACGGGUGAGUAAUGCAUCGGAACGUACCCAGUCGCGGGGGAUAACGUAGCGAAAGUUACGCUAAUACCGCAUACGAUCUGAGGAUGAAAGCGGGGGACCUUCGGGCCUCGCGCGAUUGGAGCGGCCGAUGUCGGAUUAGCUAGUUGGUGAGGUAAAGGCUCACCAAGGCGACGAUCCGUAGCUGGUCUGAGAGGACGACCAGCCACACUGGGACUGAGACACGGCCCAGACUCCUACGGGAGGCAGCAGUGGGGAAUUUUGGACAAUGGGCGAAAGCCUGAUCCAGCCAUGCCGCGUGAGUGAAGAAGGCCUUCGGGUUGUAAAGCUCUUUCAGACGGAAAGAAAUCUUCUGGGUGAAUAUCCCGGGAGGAUGACGGUACCGUAAGAAGAAGCACCGGCUAACUACGUGCCAGCCGCCGCGGUAA
Molecule: ribosomal RNA, 500 nt
Filed under: uncultured bacterium
Lineage: Bacteria
Description: partial 16S ribosomal RNA
Rfam family: Bacterial small subunit ribosomal RNA
Source: RNAcentral